Molecule: ribosomal RNA, 301 nt
Filed under: uncultured bacterium
Lineage: Bacteria
Description: partial 16S ribosomal RNA
Rfam family: Bacterial small subunit ribosomal RNA
Source: RNAcentral
CAGCAGCCACGGUAAUACGAAGGGGGCUAGCGUUGUUCGGAUUUACUGGGCGUAAAGGGUGCGUAGGCGGAUUGUUAAGUCAGGGGUGAAAUCCUGAGGCUCAACCUCGGAACUGCCUUUGAUACUGGCGAUCUUGAGUCCGGGAGAGGUGAGUGGAACUGCGAGUGUAGAGGUGAAAUUCGUAGAUAUUCGCAAGAACACCGGUGGCGAAGGCGGCUCACUGGCCCGGUACUGACGCUGAGGCACGAAAGCGUGGGGAGCAAACAGGAUUAGAUACCCCAGUAGUCCCUGUCUCUUAUAC